UACGUAGGUGGCAAGCGUUGUCCGGAUUUACUGGGCGUAAAGCGCGUGUAGGCGGCGGGAUAAGUCGCAUGUGAAAGCCCUCGGCUCAACCGAGGAAGUGCAUGCGAUACUGUUUCGCUUGAAUGCCGGAGGGGAUGGCGGAAUUCCCGGUGUAGAGGUGAAAUUCGUAGAUAUCGGGAGGAACACCUGUGGCGAAGGCGGCCAUCUGGACGGCGAUUGACGCUGAGACGCGAAAGCGUGGGUAGCAAACAGG
RNAcentral lists this ribosomal RNA (253 nucleotides) under uncultured bacterium. RNAcentral's name for it is "partial 16S ribosomal RNA". It matches the Rfam family "Bacterial small subunit ribosomal RNA", at positions 524 to 776 of the family's 1533-position model. The record is from RNAcentral.